Molecule: long non-coding RNA, 293 nt
Organism: Diprion similis
Lineage: Eukaryota; Metazoa; Arthropoda; Insecta; Hymenoptera; Diprionidae
Exons: 2
Source: RefSeq, a predicted model, not a curated record
GAAGUAUCUGUGAAAAUUAGAGCUUGGAUUUUGUCGUCUAUUUAGGAGAAAGAAAACGAAAAGAACCAGUAAAACGAAGCUAAAAGUGUUUCCAGCGCGGAAAAUUUUCACUUGCGUCGCAAGAUUAUCACUGCAACAAUCAGCAGAGUGUUAAAGAAGACAUAUGCGAGCCAGGAAUAGAUUCUGUGGACGAGUUAGGUACAUCUAUCAUCUAGUCAAUCCAUUAAGUUCCUCAGCUGUAAAUAAAUCAAACAUAUCGUUCAGAUACCCCACUUAGGUGAUAAAUUUCAAUG